AUUGAACGCUGGCGGAAUGCUUUACACAUGCAAGUCGAACGGCAGCACGGACUUCGGUCUGGUGGCGAGUGGCGAACGGGUGAGUAAUACAUCGGAACGUGCCCAGUCGUGGGGGAUAACGUAGCGAAAGCUACGCUAAUACCGCAUACGAUCUAAGGAUGAAAGCGGGGGAUCGCGAGACCUCGCGCGAUUGGAGCGGCCGAUGGCAGAUUAGGUAGUUGGUGGGGUAAAGGCUCACCAAGCCGACGAUCUGUAGCUGGUCUGAGAGGACGACCAGCCACACUGGGACUGGGACACGGCCCAGACUCCUACGGGAGGCAGCAGUGGGGAAUUUUGGACAAUGGGCGCAAGCCUGAUCCAGCCAUUCCGCGUGCAGGAUGAAGGCCCUCGGGUUGUAAACUGCUUUUGUACGGAACGAAAAGGCUCUGGUUAAUACCCGGGGCUCAUGACGGUACCGUAAGAAUAAGCACCGGCUAACUACGUGCCAGCCGCCGCGGUAA
Molecule: ribosomal RNA, 500 nt
Filed under: uncultured bacterium
Lineage: Bacteria
Description: partial 16S ribosomal RNA
Rfam family: Bacterial small subunit ribosomal RNA
Source: RNAcentral